RNAcentral lists this ribosomal RNA (401 nucleotides) under uncultured bacterium. RNAcentral's name for it is "bacterial SSU rRNA". It matches the Rfam family "Bacterial small subunit ribosomal RNA", at positions 29 to 432 of the family's 1533-position model. The record is from RNAcentral.
AUUGAACGCUGGCGGCAUGCCUUACACAUGCAAGUCGAACGGUAACAGGCCGCAAGGUGCUGACGAGUGGCGAACGGGUGAGUAAUGUAUCGGAACGUGCCCAGUCGUGGGGGAUAACUGCUCGAAAGAGCAGCUAAUACCGCAUACGACCUGAGGGUGAAAGCGGGGGACCGUAAGGCCUCGCGCGAUUGGAGCGGCCGAUAUCAGAUUAGGUAGUUGGUGAGGUAAAGGCUCACCAAGCCGACGAUCUGUAGCUGGUCUGAGAGGACGACCAGCCACACUGGGACUGAGACACGGCCCAGACUCCUACGGGAGGCAGCAGUGGGGAAUUUUGGACAAUGGACGCAAGUCUGAUCCAGCCAUGCCGCGUGCGGGAAGAAGGGCCCUUCGGGUUGUAACCG